This 288-nucleotide ribosomal RNA is filed under the name uncultured bacterium. Its description in RNAcentral is "partial 16S ribosomal RNA". It matches the Rfam family "Bacterial small subunit ribosomal RNA", at positions 773 to 1060 of the family's 1533-position model. The record is from RNAcentral.
GUGGAUUAGAUACCCUGGUAGUCCAUGCCGUAAACGAUGUCUACUAGCCGUUGGGGCCUUUGAGGCUUUAGUGGCGCAGCUAACGCGAUAAGUAGACCGCCUGGGGAGUACGGUCGCAAGACUAAAACUCAAAUGAAUUGACGGGGGCCCGCACAAGCGGUGGAGCAUGUGGUUUAAUUCGAUGCAACGCGAAGAACCUUACCUGGCCUUGACAUGCUGAGAACUUUCCAGAGAUGGAUUGGUGCCUUCGGGAACUCAGACACAGGUGCUGCACGGUUGUCGCCAACU